Molecule: signal recognition particle RNA, 299 nt
Filed under: Saimiri boliviensis boliviensis (Bolivian squirrel monkey)
Lineage: Eukaryota; Metazoa; Chordata; Mammalia; Primates; Cebidae
Description: Metazoan signal recognition particle RNA (ENSSBOG00000007224.1)
Rfam family: Metazoan signal recognition particle RNA
About the family: The signal recognition particle (SRP) is a universally conserved ribonucleoprotein.
Source: RNAcentral
GCCAGGCGUGGUGGUACGUGCCUGUAGUUCCAGCUCCUCAGGAGGCUGAGGUGGGAGGAUGGCUUGAGCCCAGGAGAUCUGGGCUGUAGUGCACUAUGCCAGUCGGGUGUCUGCACUAAGUUCGGUGUUAACGUGGUAACCUCCCGGGAUCAGGGGACCGCCAGGUUACCUAAGGAGGGGUGAACCAGCCCAGGUCGGAAACGGAUCAGGUCAAAACUCCCGUGCUGAUCAGUAGUGGGAUCUCGCCUGUGCAUAGCCACUGCACUCCAGCCUGGGCAACAUAGCGAGACCCUGUCUCU